UCCUGACCCCAUGCCGAACUCAGAAGUGAAACGCCGUAGCGCCGAUGGUAGUGUGGGGUCUCCCCAUGCGAGAGUAGGGAACUGCCAGGC
Molecule: ribosomal RNA, 90 nt
Filed under: Escherichia coli
Lineage: Bacteria; Pseudomonadati; Pseudomonadota; Gammaproteobacteria; Enterobacterales; Enterobacteriaceae
Source: RNAcentral